This 87-nucleotide transfer RNA is filed under the name Malassezia cuniculi. Its description in RNAcentral is "tRNA-Ile". It matches the Rfam family "tRNA". From Rfam's summary of the family: Transfer RNA (tRNA) molecules are approximately 80 nucleotides in length. Their secondary structure includes four short double-helical elements and three loops (D, anti-codon, and T loops). Lineage: Eukaryota; Fungi; Basidiomycota; Malasseziomycetes; Malasseziales; Malasseziaceae. The record is from RNAcentral.
GACCGCGUAACUCAGUUGGUUAGAGUGUGGAGCUAAUACUACGCCUAGUAUACUCCAAAGUCGCCAGUUCGAGCCUGGUCGUGGUCA